CAAGGGCGAAAGCCCUGGAUGCAGCGACGCCGCGGUGGAGGGAUGACGGCCUUCGGGUUGUAAACCUCUUUCAGCAGGGAAGAAGCGAAAGUGACGGUACCUGCAGAAGAAGCGCCGGCUAACUACGUGCCAGCAGCCGCGGUAAUACGUAGGGCGCAAGCGUUGUCCGGAAUUAUUGGGCGUAAAGAGCUCGUAGGCGGCUUGUCACGUCGGAUGUGAAAGCCCGAGGCUUAACCUCGGGUCUGCAUUCGAUACGGGCUAGCUAGAGUGUGGUAGGGGAGAUCGGAAUUCCUGGUGUAGCGGUGAAAUGCGCAGAUAUCAGGAGGAACACCGGUGGCGAAGGCGGAUCUCUGGGCCAUUACUGACGCUGAGGAGCGAAAGCGUGGGGAGCGAACAGGAUUAGAUACCCUGGUAGUCCACGCCGUAAACGUUGGGAACUAGGUGUUGGCGACAUUCCACGUCGUCGGUGCCGCAGCUAACGCAUUAAGUUCCCCGCCUGGGGAGUACGGCCGCAAGGCUAAAACUCAAAGGAAUUGACGGGGGCCCGCACAAGCAGCGGAGCAUGUGGCUUAAUUCGACGCAA
RNAcentral lists this ribosomal RNA (583 nucleotides) under Streptomyces sp. WSML4. RNAcentral's name for it is "bacterial SSU rRNA". It matches the Rfam family "Bacterial small subunit ribosomal RNA", at positions 370 to 959 of the family's 1533-position model. The record is from RNAcentral. Lineage: Bacteria; Bacillati; Actinomycetota; Actinomycetes; Kitasatosporales; Streptomycetaceae.